Molecule: non-coding RNA, 197 nt
Organism: Pogona vitticeps (central bearded dragon)
Lineage: Eukaryota; Metazoa; Chordata; Lepidosauria; Squamata; Agamidae
Source: RefSeq, a predicted model, not a curated record
AACAAAUUAGAGAACAGUUCUUCACCUGACUUAGAUUUAUGGACAUGAAAUGAUGGUGAUGUGAUCUCAAAAUUUAACUGAACCAACUUUCUGCUUUUCUCCUGCACAGGCUUUCCUACAUGUCCUGCCAUUGGUGGAGGUUUGCCACUCACUGAAGGAAAGGUGAACAUAAAUGUAACGAAGAAGAAGAAGAAGAA